Molecule: ribosomal RNA, 468 nt
Filed under: uncultured Saprospiraceae bacterium
Lineage: Bacteria; Pseudomonadati; Bacteroidota; Saprospiria; Saprospirales; Saprospiraceae
Description: bacterial SSU rRNA
Rfam family: Bacterial small subunit ribosomal RNA
Source: RNAcentral
GAUGAACGCUAGCGGGAGGCUUAAUACAUGCAAGUCGAGGGGCAGCAUAACGAACCUAGUUUGUUGAUGGCGACCGGCGCACGGGUGAGUAACGCGUACAUACCUGCCUUAUACUACGGGAUAGCCCUGGGAAACUGGGAUUAAUACCGUAUGUGACCGCGAGGUUAAAGUUUCGACGGUAUAAGAUGGAUGUGCGUCCUAUUAGCUAGUUGGUAAGGUAACGGCUUACCAAGGCUACGAUAGGUAGGGGGCGUGAGAGCGUGAACCCCCACACGGGUACUGAGACACGGACCCGACUCCUACGGGAGGCAGCAGUAAGGAAUAUUGGUCAAUGGAGGCAACUCUGAACCAGCCAUCCCGCGUGCAGGAUGACGGCCCUAUGGGUUGUAAACUGCUUUUGAAUUGGAAGAACUGUACUCAUUUAUGAGUGCUUGACGGUACAAUUAGAAUAAGCACCGGCUAACUCCG